AGUGAAUAGCAGGGCGAAGCAGUGGGUGGUGCGAGGAACCGGGUCGGCGAUGGUCGGCUACCUGCUGCCUAACUACAUUGUGGCUGCUAGAGGUUAUCUUAAGGAUCUGAAGUUUCAUUUAUUCAUGAGACAUCCAGUGAAUUCUCAAAUAUACCAGGGCAUGCAGGUGAUG
Long non-coding RNA from Frankliniella occidentalis (western flower thrips), 172 nucleotides. RefSeq lists it as uncharacterized. The transcript has 3 exons. The record is from RefSeq and is a predicted model, not a curated record. NCBI's taxonomy places the organism in Eukaryota, Metazoa, Arthropoda, Insecta, Thysanoptera, Thripidae.